GAUGAACGCUGGCGGCGUGCUUAACACAUGCAAGUCGAACGAAGCACUUUAUUUGAUUUCUUCGGAAUGAAGAUUUUGUGACUGAGUGGCGGACGGGUGAGUAACGCGUGGGUAACCUGCCUCAUACAGGGGGAUAACAGUUGGAAACGACUGCUAAUACCGCAUAAGCGCACAGGGUCGCAUGACCUGGUGUGAAAAACUCCGGUGGUAUGAGAUGGACCCGCGUCUGAUUAGCCAGUUGGUGGGGUAACGGCCUACCAAAGCGACGAUCAGUAGCCGACCUGAGAGGGUGACCGGCCACAUUGGGACUGAGACACGGCCCAAACUCCUACGGGAGGCAGCAGUGGGGAAUAUUGCACAAUGGGGGAAACCCUGAUGCAGCGACGCCGCGUGAGCGAAGAAGUAUUUCGGUAUGUAAAGCUCUAUCAGCAGGGAAGAAGAAAUGACGGUACCUGACUAAGAAGC
RNAcentral lists this ribosomal RNA (465 nucleotides) under uncultured bacterium. Its description in RNAcentral is "bacterial SSU rRNA". It matches the Rfam family "Bacterial small subunit ribosomal RNA", at positions 28 to 491 of the family's 1533-position model. The record is from RNAcentral.